Long non-coding RNA from Syngnathoides biaculeatus (alligator pipefish), 3356 nucleotides. RefSeq lists it as uncharacterized. The transcript is spliced from 3 exons. The record is from RefSeq and is a predicted model, not a curated record. NCBI's taxonomy places the organism in Eukaryota, Metazoa, Chordata, Actinopteri, Syngnathiformes, Syngnathidae.
AAAGCGCUUGUAAUGGCGCUCGUUAGCCGUGACGGGCUCAUCACGUCGCAGUUUGGAAUCUCGCAUGGCGAUCGGAUCGCUCCUCAAGCGUGGCGGCGAUCCAGUCCGAUAAGCGAAGCGCGCUUAAAAAUAGCGGCGAACGAGCCACAUUAAAAGAUAAGAUCGCACGGCGGGGAAAACGCGCUAGAGCGUCUCUUCCUGCCGUCAGACUCGCGACGCCCGCGGGAAAUCUUCUUUGAGGACGUUCGCGGCGCAACUGCUCGCCUGUCCCAUCCUUUCGUCGUCCGAUUGAGAAACCUCACCUCUUUUUAAGAAGGUUUAUUUAAAAAUAGUGUAACCCACAUAAAAAAUUGCUACAGUUAAAAGUAAAUAGAGCAGCAAUUAGGUUAGAGGUUUUCUUCAUACAAGGUGGUGGAAUAUUUGUUAGUGUGUGCUGAAUUUAUUUCCCUUCGGAGGGAUUUGUUUUUAAACGUGUUUCAUUAGUUUUGAAAAGAAAUAUUUUGUUUGUGAUUUUAUUAUCGUGACUCGUGUUUAGGAAGGACAGGAAGUGACGUACUGGGGGGCGCGAGAGAAGGAGAGGAAAAAAAAGCGGGAAGGAGUGUGAAGAAUGUGUCUGAUUUUGAAGAAAAGAAAAGUUAAAGGCGGACAUUUAUCAACAUUGCUCAACGUGUUCGACAAGGACUGUUGACAGACAAAUUCCCAAGCGGGAGUUCAUCGAUGUACGAGGCCCGGCGAUGUCUGCUUUAACCAAAAUGGCUGACAACUCGGUUCACUUUCCGCCAUUGUUGGCGUAAUGACUUGGCCCACGACAGCUGCCUCCAAGCAUAAUGGCUGACUUCCUGUACACUUUUGGCAGGGGUCCCUAAGAUUUUUUUUUGUCACCUGUUUUGAUGGAUGUCUGCCCACAUUUUGAGUCAAUGGGCCAAACUGGUGUUGGAGUGUUUCUUCUCCUUUUUUUCUUCUCCUUCUCUUCCUCCCUUUUCUUCUCUUCCUUCCCCUCCUUGUCCUCCACCUUCUCCUCAUCCUUCUCCUAUUUCUUCUCAUCCUCCUCCUCCUUCUACUACUCCUUCUUCUACUCCUCCUUAUCAUCCUUCUCUUCCUUCUCCUCCUCCUACUUCUUAUCACCCUUCUCCUCCGUCUCGUUCUUCUCAGUCUCAUCCUACUCCUUUUACUCAUCCCUUUUCUACUACUUCUCUUCCUCCUCAUUUUCCUCUUUAUCCUUCUCCUUAUCCUUCUACUACUCCUCCCCUCAUUCUUCUAAUCCUCCUCAUCAUCCUUCCUCUCCUACUCUUUCCCCAUAUCAUCCUUCUUCUCCUCCUUCUACUCCUCCUUAUUAUCCUUCUCCUUAUCCUCCUUUCUUCUCCGUCUCCUCCUUCUUCCUCUUCUCCUUUUACUCAUUCAUCUUCUAGUACUCCUCGUUUUCCUCCUUAUUCUCUUUCUCCAUAUCAUCCUUCUUCUACUCCUCCUUAUCCUCCUUUCUUCUCCGUCUCCUCCCUCUUCUCUUUCUUUUACUCAUCCACCUUCUACUACUCUUUGUUUUCCUCCAUAUCCUUUUUCUCCUCCACAUCCUUCUACUACUACUCCUCCCCUUCAUUCUUCUACUCCUCCUUUUUCUUCAUCUUCUCCUCUUUCUGCCUCUUCUCCUCAUCUUCCUCCACCAAUAUUGAAACUUGUUGACAUGAUAAUCAUUGACCCACUCAUAGCAAAUUGGGUGGAUGUGCGGGACAAAAUUCACUCAAAUGAACCCAACUCGGAAACGGGUACAGUAGACAAACGAGCAACUUCAACCCUGCCUCGCUAAGCUUAAAUUUCACCGAUUGGAAUCUAUUGAUGAGUUUUCCAGAAAAGUGUUCUGGAAUCCUCUUUCCACGUGCAAUGAAACGCAUUCGUGCUACAACGAUGAUGCCGCAUUUGUCGUCUGCUUUGUGAAUUAAAGACCUCGCCAAAACAUGGCUCCCGCGGUGAGAGCGGUCGAGAAGCCUCGAAUAUGAAUAUAAUACAUUAAAGUCAGUUUGUGUGUGUGGCUGGUUACAAGGAAACAUUUCUUGUGGGUUAUUGUCUGCUCUCAGCAACAAGAACAAAAGUUUUCAUGGAAGCUUCAAGGCCAGCAGCUUCUCCACUUAGUGCCGUUGAAUGCCACGCGGUUGAAAAAGUGUCAUUUUUAAUUUCAUCAGUAGUGUUUCUAAAAAAAAAAUUUUUUUCCACCCCUACUUUUUUUUUCUUAAUGUCACAACCACUUUAUGAAUAUAAAUGUGUUUGUCUGGACACUCGGGAGGGGAAAGGAAAAGUCAAUUUCUUUCUAAACGCCGAGGGUCAGGGAGAAGGUGAGAACAGGGGAGUGCAAGUAUAUUAGCGGCGCUAAAUUACAUCUCCAGAGGCUCUGAUUGUGUUUGUGCUCCACUGCAGCCUUUUAGAUUGAAUUUGAUGGACAGAAUGUGCUCACUUUAAUGCGUCUGGGUGCCUUUUAACGCAUGCCGGGCCGCUUCCUGCUUCACCGCAUCACGCAGUUUACCAUCAAACGCGCUGUUUUACGCCCCAUAAAUGCAACAUUCGGGCAAAUGUCUCGGGACGGCCGACUUAAUUAACCGAUCAAUUGAGAAACCGGAGCAUCACGAUUGGCUUUCUAUACAUUUCUGCUAUGGGGAUGAUGCGAGAUAUCGUUUUAGUUAUGUGUUUGGUAUCGUGUCAUCAAUUUUUGCUGCUCUGCUCCGCCAAACACUUUAUGAGCAAAACUUAGACGUUUAUCACUCUUGCGUCAGACAUCCUGGAAGUGGCGCAAAUGAACCCAAAAUGGCAGACUUCCGUUGUCUUUUCAGGCCUGAAAAAGGCUGUUAUUCAGGUCUACCGAUAAUAAAUUAGACUACCAACUUACAUGUUGUUAUGCUUACCUGACUUCAGGUGUUGAUUCCCCCCCCCCCCCCCCAACAGUCUAGGUCCAGGUAAGUUUUGAAGGACACUUGGAAAUGACCAAAUUGAGCCAAAAAUCGCUGUUUCAAACCGCAAGGGCAAACUUCCUGUGAAUCUCCAGGCAAAGCUUCUUGAGGCCCUAACCCUAACGAUAAAUGGAUCUAGCAACUUUCCAACGUUUUAACGUUUCCAAGUUAAAACUGGCUUUGUGGGCUGGAUUUCCACACAUCUAACAGUCAAAGCGAACCAACGUAUUCACCUGAGCUUUUCACACAGAAUCCAGCGAAGUAGAAUGGCGGCAGAAUUGUGCUGUUUUACGCAGUGACACAACAUCCCAACCCACAAUCAUAUUGUGGUCAUGAUCCUACUCAGGAAACCCCCUUUCUCUUUCCUUGUCAUAAUAUGCGAGUGGUCUUCAACGCAAAGACGAUGAAAUCUAAUGAAUCCAU